Heterocephalus glaber (naked mole-rat) is the source of this 913-nucleotide long non-coding RNA. The record is from Ensembl. Lineage: Eukaryota; Metazoa; Chordata; Mammalia; Rodentia; Bathyergidae.
CUUGUUGUUAUUUUUUUGACCUGCUGGAAGUACUGAGGAACUCCUGAGUGCCCAUGCCAGCAAUCUGCAACUUUGACUUCCCCUCCCCAGGUGGAACAAGCCCCAGCUGCUGUGCAUCUGCUCCCAGUGCUCUCAGUGGGGCCCAGAAACCAUGGAGCCAAGUGACCAUGAACUAAACCUCUGGAACUGAAAGCCAAAACAUUAAAAAAAUGUUAAUGGCCUACAUGCAACAAGCUGUUGAUGUAACCUGCCUGUGGAGAGGAGACUCCAAUUCCAGCAGGUGCCCACUUUGACAGCUCCCAGAUGCAGAUUCCCACCAGCAGAGAUCACUUGGAUUAGAGGAUGUCAUGCAACACACCGAGGCCUUAACUAACUAUACUCAACAAGACUUAAAUGAUAAUUCAACUGGUCUCUCUCCUAAGUGAAGAAGUAAAAUUAAUGAGACAAGCUAUCCUCCAAAAUUGAAUGCCAUUAGACAUUCUAACCGCAGACAAGGGGGUACUUGUGCAAUUGUAAAAGCUGAAUGUUGUGUGUACAUUCCUGAUACUUCUGCUGAUAUCUUAAUGGCUGUCCAAGAUGUUAAAUGACAGGUUAAGGACAUGUCAGAUUCUGAAAGUCCCUGGACCUUCUCCUUACCCUCUUUGUGGGAGAUUAUUACUGGCUCUCCAUGGUAGAAUCAUUUAUUGGUUGUAUUCAUAACAGUCUUGUAGAUUUACUAUGUGGCCCAUGCAUACUUAAGUGUUUCUUUGGCUUUGUCUUCUCCAGAUUUAAAGCUAUAUGCCUAUCCAAGACAAGAACACCUGACAUCUAUCUAGGACCUUUAGAUAGACUCUCUGGAGAGUGUCCCUAACUACCAAUCACAACUAUCACUCCCUUCAUCCUGAAGUACCCAGAACAGUCAUUUCCCCUUGCC